GAGUUUGAUCAUGGCUCAGAACGAACGCUGGCGGCAGGCCUAACACAUGCAAGUCGAGCGCUGUAGCAAUACAGAGCGGCGCACGGGUGAGUAACACGUGGGAACGUGCCCUUUGGUUCGGAAUAACUCAGGGAAACUUGAGCUAAUACCGGAUGAGCCCUAACGGGGAAAGAUUUAUCGCCGAAGGAGCGGCCCGCGUUGGAUUAGCUAGUUGGUGGGGUAAAAGCCUACCAAGGCAACGAUCCAUAGCUGGUUUGAGAGAACGACCAGCCACACUGGGACUGAGACACGGCCCAGACUCCUACGGGAGGCAGCAGUGGGGAAUCUUGGACAAUGGGGGAAACCCUGAUCCAGCCAUGCCGCGUGAGUGAUGAAGGCCCUAGGGUUGUAAAACUCUUUCGGCGGGGACGAUAAUGACGGUACCCGCAGAAGAAGCUCCGGCUAACUUCGUGCCAGCCGCCGCCGUAAU
This 469-nucleotide ribosomal RNA is filed under the name uncultured Alphaproteobacteria bacterium. RNAcentral describes it as "bacterial SSU rRNA". It matches the Rfam family "Bacterial small subunit ribosomal RNA", at positions 9 to 524 of the family's 1533-position model. The record is from RNAcentral. Lineage: Bacteria; Pseudomonadati; Pseudomonadota; Alphaproteobacteria.